Molecule: long non-coding RNA, 2295 nt
Organism: Sarcophilus harrisii (Tasmanian devil)
Lineage: Eukaryota; Metazoa; Chordata; Mammalia; Dasyuromorphia; Dasyuridae
Source: Ensembl
GGUAACUUUACAGCAUUAACAAUUGCCAAACCUCUUGUUCCAAUUUUUCACCUUUUACCCCCCUACCCCCUCCCCUAGAUGGCAGGAUGACCAGUAGAUGUUAAAUAUAUUAAAAUAUAAAUUAGAUACACAAUAAGUAUACAUGACCAAAACGUUAUUUUGCUGUACAAAAAGAAUCAGACUCUGAAAUAUUGUACAAUUAGCUUGUGAAGGAAAUCAAAAAUGCAGGUGUGCAUAAAUAUAGGGAUUGGGAAUUCAACGUAAUGGUUUUUAGUCAUCUCCCAGAGUUCUUUUUCUGGGCAUAGCUGGUUCAGUUCGUUACUGCUCCAUUGGAAAUGAUUUGGUUGAUCUCAUUGCUGAGGAUGGCCUGGUCCAUCAGAACUGGUCAUCAUAUAGUAUUGUUGUUGAAGUAUAUAAUGAUCUCUUGGCCCUGCUCAUUUCACUCAGCAUCAGUUCAUGUAAGUCUCUCCAGGCCUUUCUGAAAUCAUCCUGUUGGUCAUUUCUUACAGAACAGUAAUAUUCCAUAAUAUUCAUAUACCACAAUUUAUUCAGCCAUUCUCCAACUGAUGGACAUCCAUUCAGUCUCCAGUUUUUAGCCACUACAAAAAGGGCUGCCACAAACAUUCGUGCACAUACAGGUCCCUUUCCCUUCUUUAUAAUCUCUUUGGGAUAUAAUCCAGUAGUAACACUGCUGGAUCAAAGGGUAUGCACAGUUUGAUAACUUUUUGAGCAUAGUUCCAAACUACUCUCCAAAAUGGUUGGAUUUGUUCACAACUCCACCAACAAAUAUAGCAGUGAAUUUUCAUAGAAGCAUGAGAGAAAUUAAUAACCAAUGAUUUGGGGAUAUAUAGAAUUCUUUCCUUUUUAUAAAGUACUGGUUUUUAAGUCAGUCUCUUGAAGAACAUUACUGAUAAUUAAAAUGGACUAAUUUUCUGGUUCUGACCCUAGCCAAGUGGAAUAGCCAUUGUGUCCUGCUCAGGCUUGGAUGGGGUAAACUGAAUAGACUGCCAAAGGCUAGAGUGGUCUAAGUAGAAAUCACUCUCUCAGUCCAAAGGUUAACAUGAUGUCACUCAGCUGUCACUGAACAACUAUUCUUUGAAGGGUAUAUAAACUGUGAGCCUGACACUAUGAUGGUCUUUUUAUCAAUAAUGUGUUGGCCUCAUUAACAAAAUGACUAAAUUAUCCAGAAAUAAUCUCUCUCAAACCUUUUUAAUCAUCACAACAGCUUUGAGUAGUUUUUCAGGGUGACCUGUAAUGGAUGUAGGCAAAAUAGUGAUUCUUCCCCUAUCCCCUAUGGUAUCAGAUUCUUACUUUUAAAAUGGAGAACAGGAGAGGGCUAAUACUACACAUGGCGAGCUUAAAUCACAUAUUACAUUUGUACUCAGUAACUGAAGAUAAAUUCCAACUGCCAAGACAAAAAUAUUAGAAAGGAUUCCUGUUUUUUAUGAGUUGCCUCACCUCAAACAAAUAUAAAUUGGAAGGGCAAAAUGAACAAAGUGGUUUAACUAAGAUACAAUAAUUACUACUGCAUGUAAAUGCUGUUUUAUGGAAAGGCAGCUGGGUGAUACAGUGGAAUGAGCCUGGAGUCUGGUAUUAGGAAUUACCCGAGUUAAAAUUCUACCUCAGACACUUAGUAGCUGUGUGACUUUAAGCAAAUUACUUUUGCCUCAUUUCCUCAUCUGUAAAAUGAGGUAGAGGAGAUGGCAAAAGUCUAGUAUCUUAGUAAAAAACAAAAGAAACAAACAAACAAAAAAAAAAAAUGGAGUAAAAGCCCCGUUUUAUGGAAACUCACAGGUAUGAAAAAUUUCUACAAAUCUGGGAAUAUAUUAAGAUUCUUUCCUCAUAUUUGUUAAAGUCACUAACACCUCUACUUUACUUUCCAAAUAGUUUAGAAAUAGACCUUGUACUGAAAGAGGAUAAUAUUGACCUGUUAAAUUUUAAAUUCUUACUAGCUAGAAACUGAACCUGUUUUCACUGAGUACUAAGAAGUGAAGUGACUCCCCUGGGGUAAAAUAACCACUAUGAAACACAGCAGGAUUUAAACCCAGUUUAUAAAGUAUUUUCUGAAAUGUUCCUUACAUUCUUAAAAAAACCUGGAAUUUAACCUUAAUCUGAGCUGUAACUUCCUCAGAAUAACUGAGGGUUUUAUACCUUGGGCAUUAAAAAUCUGAGAUAUUGCCAAGAAUACUUUCAGUCCUUUAAUAACCUUAAUGACUUAACUUAGCACCUAAUUAGAAAGAAAAAAAUAGUUAAAACAGGAGGUUACCAGGUGACACAUUCCUUCUCAAAUCUUUG